Molecule: long non-coding RNA, 323 nt
Organism: Ostrinia nubilalis (European corn borer)
Lineage: Eukaryota; Metazoa; Arthropoda; Insecta; Lepidoptera; Crambidae
Exons: 3
Source: RefSeq, a predicted model, not a curated record
UACAGACAUCCCAUUCUAGGCAGAAAUGAAGAGUUGCGCAAAUAUAAAUCGAUUCUUUGCAACGCUAUCAAUGAACAUAAGCAAAAGUUCACGAGAUAUAGGGAUCACAAGUUUGGUUUUGCUAUUAUUGGCCCAACAUUAGUAGGCAAAACGCGUUUAUUAGAAGAAUGCAUCAAUAUAACACCAAGUUAUGUGCACGCAGACAUGUUUUCGUUAACAGAAAAGGACGAGAAACCUUUUACAAUAUUCCGAAAGAUAUUGUCCAGAGCUUUCAUUGCUACUGAUGGGCGAAAAGCAAGAGAAAGUUGUGAAAACCUUAUAAG